GAUGAAGAACGCAGCGAAAUGCGAUACUUGGUGUGAAUUGCAGAAUCCCGUGAACCAUCGAGUCUUUGAACGCAAGUUGCGCCUCAAGCCAUUAGGUUGAGGGCACGUCUGCCUGGGCGUCACAUAUCGUUGCCUGAUGCCAGUUUCCUCGUGAUGGGUGACUGUGCAGGGCGAAUGAUGGCUUCCCGUGAGCAUUGUUGCCUCAUGGUUGGUUGAAAAUUGAGUCCUUGGUAGGGAGCGCCGUGAUAGAUGGUGGUUGAGUGACGAACGAGACCCAAUCAUGUGGGACCCCUACCGAAUUUGGCCUUCAUGACCCACAUGCGUCUUUGGAACGCUCAUGACGAGACCUCAGGUCAGGCGGGGCUACCCGCUGAGUUUAAGCAUAUCAAUAAGCGGAGGA
Molecule: unclassified non-coding RNA, 400 nt
Filed under: soil metagenome
Description: partial contains 5.8S ribosomal RNA, internal transcribed spacer 2, and large subunit ribosomal RNA
Rfam family: 5.8S ribosomal RNA (bases 1-122)
Source: RNAcentral